This 1605-nucleotide long non-coding RNA is filed under the name Vulpes vulpes (red fox). RNAcentral's name for it is "lncRNA (ENSVVUG00000027771.1)". The record is from RNAcentral. Lineage: Eukaryota; Metazoa; Chordata; Mammalia; Carnivora; Canidae.
CUUCAGAAUUAUCUUGGACAUCAGUAUCUAAUAAAUAGAACCAUUUGAAAGGUCAUCAAACACUGUUUUCCAGAUCUGAUUGAGACAUUGCACUUUGAAAUUUCUGAAAAAUGCUGUCAGUGGGAAUUUUACUUCAAGUCUCAAGUUUCAUUUGCAAAGCUUUGGCACAGUUGAUUUUUUUUCCCCCAUUUGUUUUGUAGAAAUAACUGGGAUCCUAAUGAUUUACUUUAUUGGUUUUCUAAAUGAUCUUCAGAAGUCUUGUUUAUACUCACCCCCAUUACCUGGAAUCAUUAUUAAAUCCACGUCAAAUUUCUUGGCACCAAGUGUUUUUUCCAGUUCUAUUUCUAUAAACUGGCUAUGACUGAGGUUUUUCAAACUAUGGUGUCUUCCUCACAUGCCAUUUACUUGUGGAAAAUGAGGUAAUUUGAUAGAGUACUCCAAAUUUUGAGCACAACUGAAGAAUUCCACCAUAAGGCUAUUCCUUUUAUAAGGGUUAGUUUCCUCUCUGAACAUAUAUAGAACUUACCUUCCUUGAGCAUCAGCCAUCUUCUAAAAUGGUGCUAUCUAUAUCUACAGUUAUAGAACAGUUACAUAAUUAGCUAAAUGAGAUGGCACGUAGAACACCUGGUAUUGUGUCUAGCACAUUUUGCAUUUUUUUUUUUUUUACAUUUUAGAAUUAUAAGGAAUCACAAUUAUCAUCAAAGAAUACAGAUGCCUGGAUAAUUUUCCCAAAGCAAUGCAGCUAAAAUGAGAAGCCAAGUUUUCCAAAUUUAUAUUCAGCUCACCCUUGGAUUACUUACGAAGCAUGGCACUCUUUUAUGCAACACCAGGCUGACUUCAAAAGAGAGACAGAAUACCAAAAAAGGAAAAGAGAAGAACGAUAUAAUGAAGAGUGAACACAUAUCUACCUGAUAGUUGAUAGUAACACAUCCCAAAUACAUAUGCAAAGGUAAACAUAUUUUAGGAGAGACGGAGGACUACAUAUGUGAGCGAAAGGAGGGCUUUUUAAAAAUCGUGUUCAAGAUUAAAAACAAAACAAAAGCAUAACACCAAGGCUCAAUAAUCUCAACAUCUUGGGAAAACCAUUUAUUUUGUCACCACAUAAAAUAGCCUGAUGAUGAGAUAGCUCUACAGAUUCCUCACUUUAUUUUAUAUGGGCUGUAAACUUAAUAAUUACCCUAACAAAGGCAGUAUUUCCUGAGAUAAGAAGGAAAGAGGUAGACUCAUUUUUCAGUUCAGGAGGCUGCAUGAAGUGGUUGUCAUAAAUGAGAGUCCUCUACUAGAGUCCCCAGAUAAGAUGCUUUUUCACUCACUGCAUGUUCUUACUUGGGGGACCAUAGUUUAAAAAAAUUAUAAUAAUCAGGAAAACCGUAUCAGUCUUCAGUUUCUUAUUGGGAGUUUUUCCAUUGCCUCGUCUUACAUGUUUUUGUGUUUGAGUUCCACUAUUGAACACACUGAUUUUCUUUUUAAUGACAUGUUUUUCUAUUUUCUUUGAGAUUCCAAGAGAACGCUAUCAUGUGCAAAAUGAACAGGGCAGAUAUGGUUCCAAUGGUUUAUUGGGUUAAUGAUCCAUAAUAUUGAGAUAUCUAACAUUUUCUGUUAAAA